RNAcentral lists this unclassified non-coding RNA (319 nucleotides) under Hevea brasiliensis (rubber tree). Lineage: Eukaryota; Viridiplantae; Streptophyta; Magnoliopsida; Malpighiales; Euphorbiaceae. The record is from RNAcentral.
GCAACGAGUUUCCAUGGCUAGGGCUGUUUAUUCUGAUUCUGAUGUUUGCAUAUUUGAUGACCCUUUAAGUGCUUUGGAUGCUGAUGUGGGCCGUCAGGUUUUUGAAAGGUGCAUCAAGGGAGAACUGAAAGGAAAAACCAGAGUUUUAGUCACAAACCAGCUACACUUUCUUUCACAAGUGGACAAAAUCAUACUGGUGCAUGAUGGUAUGGUGAAAGAGGAAGGAACCUUUGAAUAUCUCUCAAAUAACGGGAUACUAUUUCAGAAACUGAUGGAAAAUGCGGGGAAAAUGGAAGAGUAUACAGAAGAGAAGGAAAAU